Hemicordylus capensis (graceful crag lizard) is the source of this 2735-nucleotide RNA transcript. It is a transcript of the gene named cholinesterase-like, with no coding region annotated. The record is from RefSeq and is a predicted model, not a curated record. NCBI's taxonomy places the organism in Eukaryota, Metazoa, Chordata, Lepidosauria, Squamata, Cordylidae. The transcript has 4 exons.
UUAUCCAGGUACACAGUUACAGUCAUUCACACAAACAUUUAUGAGUGUACAGGCAUCUGUACACUUGUACACACCGUAAUGCCUGAAUAGGGCUAAGAUGUGGUGAUGAUGACUGGUUUAGAUCCUUCUUAAAAGGAAUUGCAUAAAUGCAUGGAGGAUGGGUCCAUCAAUGGGUAUCAGGCAUGAUGACUAAGUUGAGCCACCAUGUUCAGAGGCAGUAUAGCUCUGAAUACCAGAUGCUGGAAUCAAAUAGCAGGAGAGGGCUGUUGCUGUGCUUGUGAGGCUCAGAGAUAUCUAGCUGGCCACUGCUGGAACUGAAUGCUGGACUAGAUGGAUAUAUCCUUUUCGGAGAGGUCUGACAUAGCUGCGGAUCUGCUGCUGCUGCUCGGAAAUUGAACUGGGUCAGAUACAAUAAAGGAAGGUAAGGGAACCCUGGGAGUCUGCAAAACUGAAGGGUCUGAAAGUUAAGACAUACAAAGUGCUUCUGAGGCCCACCUCGUCUAUUCUCAAACGGCUUUGUAUGCAUUUCUUUUCUUCUAACUCUUGGGCUAACUAUCCCCCAAAAGCAAGGGUCAGUUCAGCAAGGAGAAAUGUCCUGUUCUUUAUAUCCUGCAACUUCUUCUAGGAUGUUUCCCUUUCAGCUCCUGCCAUGGUUGGUCUCCUGCCUUUUUUCUUGUGCCUCCUUUCACUACUGGGAUUCAGCUCUUGUGCUGAAAAUGACACAGUAGUGGUUACCAGCAGCGGUCCUGUCCGUGGAAAACACCUCCCAGCAGGCUCUGGCACCGUCACAGCCUUUCUGGGCAUCCCCUACGCAGAGCCACCUGUGGGGAAAUUACGCUUCCAGAAGCCGAUUCCUCAUCAGCCAUGGAGCCAUACCUUAGAAGCCAUCAAUUUUGGCAAUUCCUGUCCCCAGAUAGUUCUUUCUGGCCAUCCUGAAACUGAGAAAUGGACCGCCAACACACCCUGCUCAGAGGACUGUCUUUUCCUCAAUGUCUGGGUGCCACAUCCCCAUCCCACCACACCAGCUGCUGUCCUUGUUUGGAUAUAUGGAGGGGGGUUCCUCACUGGCACAGCCUCUUUAGUUAUGUAUAAUGGUGCAUUUUUUGCUGCCACAGAAAAUGUCAUUGUAGUCUCCAUGAAUUAUCGCCUGGGAGCUCUAGGCUUCCUUUCAUUGCCCCCAGCUGCCCCAGGAAACAUGGGCCUGUUGGACCAACAGUUGGCUUUGAGGUGGGUGAGGGAGAAUGCAGCUGCCUUCGGAGGAGAUCCUACUCGGGUGACCAUUUUUGGCGAGAGUGCCGGAGGAGGAUCCGUCGGCUUCCACCUCCUUUCACCAGGGAGCCAGCCUCUCUUUGACCGUGCUGUGCUGCAGAGUGGAACUGCCAAUGCACCCUGGGCUUGGGUGAACCCAGAGGAGGCCAAGAGGAGGGCCCGGACUCUAGCUCGGCUGAUGGGCUGUGCUGAACAUGAGGACAGAGCCAUAGUGAGUUGCCUGCAGGGAAAGGAAAUGGAAGAGUUUGCAAAUCAUCAGUUCUCUGUUGUGGAUCCCAGGAUAAUUCUGAAUCUGCCCUUCAUACCAACCACAGAUGGAGACUUUCUCUUGGAUGAACCACAGAAGCUUCUGGAAUCUGGACAUUUUCAAAGGAAACCUAUCAUGAUUGGUGCCACGUCCGAUGAGGGGUCAGUCUUGGUCUUAUAUGGAGGUCUUUUCUUGCACACAUCCAAUCACCACCUUUUGACCUGGGAGCAGCUGUUGGAAGGGCUAAAGUUGACUGUGAGCAAUGCAACGGAUGACUUCAUCAAAACCAUAGCCCUGAGGUACAGCCAAGUGGAACCUGAGGGCCCAGCACGGUACCGUUCGGCCAUGUCCCAAGCCUGUGGGGAUUACUUUUUCGUGUGCCCCUUGACUGAAGUUGCCACGGUAAUGACAGAGGCCAGGAGCCCUGUGUACGUUUAUACUUUCACCCAUCAUAGUGCUGGUUCACUUUGGCCUGAAUGGAUGGGGUCAGGCCAUGGAUGUGAAAUCCCAUACAUUUUUGGAACUUUGACCUUAAUAAAGGGAACCAAGGAAAAUCACACAGAGGCGGAGUUGGAACUGAUUCCCCGAGUGAUGCGGUACUGGGCAGAAUUUGCCAGAAGUGGCGAUCCCACUGCUUCCUUUGACAGCAAAACAAAAUGGCCCCUGUACAAUACCACAGAACAGAACUACUUCCGUAUCAGCACAGAGCCGCCCCAAGUGAAGAAACCGUCACCUGCUCGAAUGUGCAGUCUCUGGAAGACACUUUUGUCAGAGGACUCAAAGCCAAGUGAGUUAAAGGUCUGAAAGUGGGGAGGACAAAGCCUAAAGCCAUUCCCUCAGAGAAAACCCAGGUCGGCUCUGCCCGUUCCAGCAUGGAAGGUAGAAGGAAGCAAGAACUGUGAAUCAAGUGAGAGGUGUUAUUCAGAGACACCAGUAGAGACAUUCCCAAACAUCUUUUGGGAAGCUGGAAGGAGAAGCAGGAGGAGAAUCCUCAGCACAGAAUUGUAAAGAGUCAUUUCCCAGACAGUAUCUUCGGCAGACCAAUAAAGAGCUGCCUGAAAACCACAAUUAUUUCUUCAUUGGCCCUUAACCCUUCCAGCUUAAAACCAAGAGUAUGGAAUCCAUGGAUAGUGGAAAACCUAUGUAAACCGUCCAGAGACAUAAGUUUUGGGCAGUAUAAAAUAUGUAAAAUAAAUAAAUAAAUAGUGCUGGACUGAAA